GCCUGUAGUGAUAUUAGGCAGCCUCCGCUGCAGCCGGAGACCAGUCUGCUUCUAAUUACACUUCAUUUGUAGUUAGGUCUGUAAAAGUCAGUGUCAAAAACGCAAACUACUGAACUUUAGAAGAAUUCUAAUGAUAAGUUACAGAAAUGGAAUGGUGCAUUAAAAUAACAGGGUAUAGAAGAUGUGUCGUUCCUUAUUUGCAAAUGGCUGUUCAAGAAAAUGUGGUAAU
Non-coding RNA from Pelobates cultripes (western spadefoot toad), 229 nucleotides. Lineage: Eukaryota; Metazoa; Chordata; Amphibia; Anura; Pelobatidae. The record is from the annotation of a GenBank genome assembly.